ACAAUAUAAUACGAAGAGGGAUGACAUACCUGUGCACGAUACAUCAUCAUUGUGUUAUAGUUUUGAUUUGAUACACAUAAUAACUCGCAGACAUGGACUUUGAUGAAAACGAGACAUGGCCGGUGUCCAUUCGUGCGUUGUUAAGGCAACAGGUGGAGGAACAAAGUUACUUUUGCGACUUCACAGUGAAACAUGAACUCUGGAGUAAGCGUUACCAUGCCUGUGUCGCGAGUGUGAGUCCAUUCGUUCAGGCAAUGAGAAGAAAUGAUUUCAACGAACAGGCUAA
Molecule: long non-coding RNA, 286 nt
Organism: Mya arenaria
Lineage: Eukaryota; Metazoa; Mollusca; Bivalvia; Myida; Myidae
Exons: 3
Source: RefSeq, a predicted model, not a curated record